CCUGGUUGAUCCUGCCAGUAGUCGUAUGCUUGUCUCAAAGAUUAAGCCAUGCAUGUCUCAGGGCAAGCCAAAUUAAGGUGAAACCGCGAAUGGCUCAUUAAAUCAGUUAUGGUUCCUUAGAUCGUACCCACAUUUACUUGGAUAACUGUGGUAAUUCUAGAGCUAAUACAUGCAAACAGAGUUCCGACCAGAGAUGGGAGGAAUGCUUUUAUUAGAUCAAAACCAAUCGGUGGCGGGUUCGUCCCGUCCACCGUUUGCCUUGGUGACUCUGAAUAACUUUGUGCUGAUCGCACGGUCUCGUACCGGCGACGCAUCUUUCAAAUGUCUGCCUUAUCAACUGUCGAUGGUAGGUUCUGCGCCUACCAUGGUUGUAACGGGUAACGGGGAAUCAGGGUUCGAUUCCGGAGAGGGAGCCUGAGAAACGGCUACCACAUCUAAGGAAGGCAGCGGGCGCGCAAAUUGCUCACUCCCGGCACGGGGAGGUAUUGACGAAAAAUAACAAUACGGGACUCACCCGAGGCCCCGUAAUCGGAAUGAGUACACUUUAAAUCCUUUAACGAGGAUCCAUUGGAGGUCAAGCCUGGUGCCAGUAGCCGCAGUAAUUCCAGCUCCAAUAGCGUAUAUUAAAGUUGUUGCGGUUAAAAAGCUCGUAGUUGAAUCUGUGUCCCACGCUGUCGGUUCAUCGCUCGCGGUGUUUAACUGGCAUGACUGUGGGACGUACUACCGGUGGGCUUAGCUCCUCACGGGGGGCGGCCCAACUAAUAUCCCAUCGCGGUGCUCUUUACCGAGUGUCGAGGUGGGCCGGUACGUUUACUUUGAACAAAUUAGAGUGCUUAAAGCAGGCUACCUUCGCCUGAAUACUGCGUGCAUGGAAUAAUGGAAUAGGACCUAAAUUAGAGUGCUUAAAGCAGGCUACUUUCACCUGAAUACUGCGUGCAUGGAAUAAUGGAAUAGGACCUCGGUUCUAUUUUGUUGGUUUUCGGAACCCCGAGGUAAUGAUUAAUAGGGACAGAUGGGGGCAUUCGUAUUGCGACGUUAGAGGUGAAAUUCUUGGAUCGUCGCAAGACGGACAGAAGCGAAAGCAUUUGCCAAAAAUGUUUUCAUUAAUCAAGAACGAAAGUUAGAGGUUCGAAGGCGAUCAGAUACCGCCCUAGUUCUAACCAUAAACGAUGCCAGCUAGCGAUCCGCCGAAGUUCCUCCGAUGACUCGGCGGGCAGCUUCCGGGAAACCAAAGCUUUUGGGUUCCGGGGGAAGUAUGGUUGCAAAGCUGAUGAAGGCGAUCAGAUACCGCCCUUGUUCUAACCAUGAACGAUGCCAGCUAGCGAUCCGCCGAAGUUCCUCCGAUGACUCGGCGGGCAGCUUCCGGGAAACCAAAGCUUUUGGGUUCCGGGGGAAGUAUGGUUGCAAAGCUGAAACUUAAAGGAAUUGACGGAAGGGCACCACCAGGAGGGGAGCCUGCGGCUUAAUUUGACUCAACACGGGAAACCUCACCAGGCCCGCACACCGGAAGGAUUGACAGAUUGAUAGCUCUUUCUUGAUUCGGUGGGUGGUGGUCAAUGGCCGUUCUUAGUUGGUGGAGCGAUUUGUCUGGUUAAUUCCAAUAACGAACGAGACUCUAGCCUGCUAAAUAGGCGGGUGGUGGUGCAUGGCCGUUCUUAGUUGGUAGAGCGAUUUGUCUGGUUACGUCCGAUAACGAACGAGACUCUAGCCUGCUAAAUAGGCGUAAUUCAUGGUAUCUCGAAGGCCCUCGACUUCGGUCGGGCGGUUUUUACUACCGACGUACAAACAAAUCUUCUUAGAGGGACAGGCGGCUUCUAGCCGCACGAGAUUGAGCAAUAACAGGUCUGUGAUGCCCUUAGAUGUUCUGGGCCGCACGCGCGCUACACUGAAGGAAUCAGCGUGUCUUCCCUGGCCGAAAGGCCCGGGUAACCCGCUGAACCUCCUUCGUGCUAGGGAUUGGGGCUUGCAAUUAUUCCCCAUGAACCAGGAAUUCCCAGUAAGCGCGAGUGAUAAGCUCGCGUUGAUAACGUCCCUGCCCUUUGUACACACCGCCCGUCGCUACUACCGAUUGAAUGAUUUAGUGAGGUCUUCGGACUGGUGCGCGGCAAUGUUUCGGCAUUGCCGAUGUUGCCGGGAAGAUGACCAAACUUGAUCAUUUAGAGGAAGUAAAAGUCGUAACAAGGUUUCCAUAGGUGAACCUGCGGAAG
Molecule: ribosomal RNA, 2207 nt
Filed under: Cephus cinctus (wheat stem sawfly)
Lineage: Eukaryota; Metazoa; Arthropoda; Insecta; Hymenoptera; Cephidae
Description: SSU rRNA
Rfam family: Eukaryotic small subunit ribosomal RNA
Source: RNAcentral